AGUGAACGCUGGCGGUAGGCCUAACACAUGCAAGUCGAACGGCAGCACAGUAAGAGCUCGCUCUUACGGGUGGCGCGUGGCGGACGGGUGAGGAAUACCUCGGAAUCUACUUUUUCGAGGGGGAUAACGUAGGGAAACUUACGCUAAUACCGCAUACGACCUACGGGUGAAAUCAGCGGAUCUUCGGACCUUGCGCGAGUGAAUGAGCCGAUGUCGGAUUAGCUAGUUGGCGGGGUAAAGGCCCACCAAGGCGACGAUCCGUAGCUGGUCUGAGAGGAUGAUCAGCCACACUGGAACUGAGACACGGUCCAGACUCCUACGGGAGGCAGCAGUGGGGAAUAUUGGACAAUGGGCGCAAGCCUGAUCCAGCCAUACCGCGUGGGUGAAGAAGGCCUUCGGGUUGUAAAGCCCUUUUGUUGGGAAAGAAAAGCAGCAGGUUAAUACCCCGCUGUUCUGACGGUACCAAAAGAAUAAGCACCGGCUAACUUCGUG
Molecule: ribosomal RNA, 492 nt
Filed under: uncultured bacterium
Lineage: Bacteria
Description: partial 16S ribosomal RNA
Rfam family: Bacterial small subunit ribosomal RNA
Source: RNAcentral